AACAUGGCUGUUUAUUUCAACUGGGUGCAGGCGGGCUGAGUCUGAAAAGAGAGUCAGCAAAGGGAGAUGGAUUACUAUUAGUUCUUAUAGGUUUUGGGAUAGGUGGUGAAGUUGAUAGCAAUGUUUUGCGGACAGGAGUCGAUCUCACAAAGUACAUUCUCAAGGGUGGGGAGAAUUACAAAGAAACAUCUUAAGGGUGGGGGAGAUUACAAAGUACAUUGAUCAGAUAGGGUGGGUAAGGAACAAAUCACAAUGGUAGAAUGUCAUCAGUCAAGGCUAUUUUGACCUCUUUUGUGGAUCUUCAGUUACUUCAGACCAUCUGGUGUAUAUGUUCAAGUCACAGGGGAUGUGAUGGAUUGGCUUGGGCUCAGAGGCUUGACACUGGCCUUCCAGGCAAAGUCACCCGUUUGGCACUCCUCCCUGGACGGCCCUGGUUGUGGGAUUGCCGCCAAUCCUGCCUGGGCUCUGGCCUCUGCUCUGUCCUCCCUCUUGCUCUGCCUGCCCUGUUUCUGAGAAGCCUAGGGGCUUCUUGGUCUGCCUCAAUGUCUUCAACCCAAAAGACUUCCCAGUCCAUCCGGGAGAAAGUUCCUGGGGGUCGGUGUCAUGAUUGUUUCCCUCUCCAAACCUCUUUAAGCAUGAUUGGGCAGGUGUGGUGAUCCUGGAGCUCUGGGCUUCUAUAGCUGUCUGGGACAGGGAAGCUUUCUGGGUCUCUGUGGCCCAAGUGAUGGCUGCGUGGUCGGUCCAGGAAGAGCGGGAGGCAACCCGACCAUUCCUGACAUUUGCCUUCUAGGAAAGGCAGUGUGGCAUGCCACCUGCACUUCCUCUCUGAUUCCUGAGGGCCAUCGGGUUCCUCUGCUCCUGGGGAAAGAGGCUUCUAGCGCUGAAUCUUCUGGCUGCCACGGAUGUCAGGGAGCCAAAGGGACUGGGUUUUGCUGGGUGCAGGGGAGGUGGCGUCACGGGUACGUACCCGGUGGCAGGGUGGGGGUGGGAGUGGGGUGAAAUUUCUGGAAACCUCUCGGCCCCUCUGGCAGGCAUCCCUGAAUGUGGCUUGGAUUCGGGCGCAGGCCCUGUCUCGCAAGUUUUCAGCUGCGCUUGGCUUUUCUUCAGCUUUGUGGCCGAGGUCUCCCGUGGCCCACGGGCGCACGUCUGGACAUCAUUGUCCGUCUCGCCACGCCCCCUAUGGCCUCAAAGACACGCGCUCACUCCAUCCGCUCUUGGGCGACGUCAGUGCCACGGGUGGUCACACUGGCUCCAUCUCGGACUCGCCUCUGUCUGUCUUUGCACGUGUCGCGGAAAGCAGUGUCGGGAUGCCGGAGCCCCUGGGCCUUGGAGAUGAAGGCAGGCCACUGCUCCACCCAGGAAGGAGGGAGGCAGUGGGCUUGUGUGUCCGUUUAUUUUCCGCCGACAGCACGCCUUGCGGCCCUGGGGAUCUUUCUGUGCCCCAGCGAGACCCUUCCCGCCUCACUGCAUUGCAACCCCAUUCCCGAUCACCCGGUGGGAUCCAUCGUCGGAUCCGAAGAGGAGUCCGCACAGCCCAGCCGGCACCCUGAAGCUCCUCCUCCACCGGGAACCGAAGCAAGAAGACCGAUCGAGGAGGUCCUGAGGACAGGACUCCUACUGGUCCGACCCUGGGUCUCCCGCAGGCCCCUCUGGCAGUCCUCUUCCCACCCGCCGCCGCAAGCGCGCCACCGCCGCCACCGCCGCCCCGGUCCCCGCAACCUGCCGUGUCGCCGCCAUUUUUUAAAGGGUCCGCAGCCUGCCUCUCCCGAGCGAGGGGCGAGUCGGCCUCUCCAGUGCGCAUGCGCGAGGCCGGAGGCGCCGCUUGCGUCACAGUGACCGCCACCGUUGCCCCGGGGUGGAUUCCUGAGACUGGGCCAAGUAGGGGCCCUGUGUGACCGUGCGUCAGAGUCGGGGCUGAGACCAGUCCUGGCCAGGGCGUUAACAGGAUGGUCUCGGAGGCCGGGAUUCGCGGAGGGUCGACCAGCAGGGAGAAGCCUCAGGAGGAAGAAACCUCAGACGGAUCGCCGGGGAGGCAGCGCGGGAUCCCAGCCUCAGGUGUGCGCGGACGGUGUGCCCGUGAGUCUCCCCAAAAGUGGUGCCCUUGUGAUGUCGAGGACAGGUCUGCCCGUGUGCCCGUGGGCUGCUCUCUCACCGCUGGGUUGUAGUCCCGGAGAGCAGAACCCGGCAGCUUCAGGGGCUGCCUGGGGCUGGGUGUUACCUGCUGUAUGUGUUUGUGCUUAGGGGUGUGUGUGUGUGUGUGUGUGUGUGUGUGUCUGUGUGUCUGUGUGUCUGUGUGUCUGUGUCUCUGUGUCUCUGUGCCCACUUAUGUCUCUCUCAGAUAUCUCUCUCUUCUCACUCUUUCCAUCGCUCUCUGUUACUCUAUCUCUGUCCGUCUGUGCGUGCGUGUUUGCUGGGACACAGGUGCCCUUUGCGCCGGAGGUUGGUUUCUCGCACAUCAGCCUAUCUUGUGGUCAGCCUCUCCCCGGGUCUCUGCCUGCGUCGUGUGGCCCGUUGGCAGUCGUUUUCCCGGCGGUUCCAGUUUGGGUUUGUGAAGGCCUGGGCAACGUGGGCACCUGCGUCGGACCCGCAGGGGUUUUCAUCCCCUCCCCUUCCUGAGCAGCCUCUUUGCUGGGAUCAAGACGACCACACCCUAGCCAAGGACGAAGGCCUCAGAGGGGCUCAUUGUCCACCCGCAGGAGGGUGCCCACAGAUCUUGAGGAAGACGCUUCUCACUCCUCUUGCCCUUUGCCGUCAUUGAGAAAUCUAGCCACGGCUCGAAACAGAGACGGAGGAGGAAGCUGGCAACGGGAUGGGGCAAACAUCUCUGUGGCUCAGACGCUGGCCUUUGUGGCCAAGUCACCCGUUUGGCACUCCUCCCCGGAUGGCCGUGGUGGUGGCAUGGCCCCCCCGUAUCCUGCCUGGGCUCUGGCCUCUGCUCUGACCUCCCUCUUGCUGUGUCUGCCCCGUCUCUGAGAAGCCUGGCGGCUUCUUAGUGUGGUUCAGUGUCUUCCACAAAGAAGACUUCCCCGUCCAUGAGGGAGAAACCUCGUGGGGGUCCGCGUCAUGAUUGUUUCCCUCUCCACACCUCUUUCUGGAUGAUUGGGCAGCUGUGGUGAUCCUGGAGCUCUGGGCUUCCAUACCUGUGUGGGACAGGGAAGUUCUCUUGGUCUCCAUGGCCCAAGUGAUGGCUGCACGCUCGGUCCAGGAAGAGGGGGAGGCAAGCCCACCGCUCCUGACAUUGGCCUUCUAGGAAAGGCGGUGUGGCAUCCCACCUGCACUUCCUCUCUGAUUCUUGAGGGCCAACCGGUUCCUCCGCUCCUGGGGAAAGUGCCUUCUGGCACUGAAUCUUUUGGCUGCCACGGAUGUCAGGGAGCUAACGGGACUGGGUUUGGGCUGGGUGCAGGGGAGGUUGCGUCAGGGGUACCUAGCCGGCGGCGGGCUGGGGGUGGGGUGUACUUUGUCCAAACCUCUCGGCUCCUCUGGCGGGCCUCCCUGAACGUGGCCUGGACUCGCGCACAGGCCCUGUGUCGCAGGUUUUCAGGUGCGCUUGGCUUUUCCUCCGCUUUGUGGGGCAGGUCUCCAGUGACCCCCGGGGCGCACGCCUGGACAUCACUGUCCGUCUCGUCGUCGCCCCCUGCGGCCUCAAAGACACACGCUGACUGCAUGUGCUCUUGGGGGACGACAGUGCCACGUGUGGUCACACUGGCUCCAGCUCCGACUCGCCUCUGUCUCUCUUUGCCCGUGUCGCCGGAAGCCGCGUCGGGAUGCCGGAGCCCCCGGGCCUUGGAGAUGAAGGCAGGCCCCUACUCCUGCCAGGAAGGAGGGAGGCAGUGGGCUCAUGGGUCGGUGCCUUUGCAGCCGACAGCACGCCUUGCGGCCCUGGGGAUCUUUCUGUGCCCCGGCGAGACCCUUUCCGCCUCACUGCAUUGGAACCCCAUUCCCGAUCACCCGGUGGGAUCCAUCAUCGGACCCCAAGAGGAGUCCGCGCAGCCCAGCCGGCACCCCGAAGCUCCUCCUUCAGCGGGAACCGAAGCAGAAGAGCGAUCAAGGAGGUCCUGACGACAGGACUCCUAUGGGUCCGACCCUGGGUCUCCCGCAGGCCCCUCUGGCAGUCGUCUUCCCACCCGCCGCCUCGGGCUGCGCCGCAGCCGCCGCCGCCGCCGCAACCUCCAGCACCGCCGCCCCAGGCUCCGCAGCCGCCGCGCCGCCGCCAUUUUUUAAAGGGUCCGCAGCCUGACUCUGCGGAGUAAGGGGGGGUGGGGCGGGGGAGUCGGCCUCGCCAGUGCGCAUGCGCGAGGCCCGAGCCGCCGCUUGGGUCACAGUGAAAGGCAGCGUUGCCCGGGGAUGGGUCCCUGACACUUGGCGAAGGAGGUGCCCUGUGUGGUCGUGCGUCUGAGUCUGGGCUGAGACCAGUCCUGGCCAGGGCAGGUACCAGGACGGUCUCCGGAGGACGGGAUUCGCGGAGGGUCCACCAGCAGGAAGAAACCCCAGGAGGAAGAAACCUCAGAAAGAUCGCCGGCGAGGGAGCGCGGGAUCCCAGCCUCAGGCGUGCGCGGACGGUGUGCGGGUGGAAACCCCCUUCCCAUGGGGUGAAGCGCAGUCUGCUCCAGAGCCCCACUGUUGGGGUCGGGGAUGUCACAGAAAUUAACAGGGCAGCCAAUUCCCAUCCAGAGGGGGCCCAGGAUGACCCCGAACCCUCUAGCUCAGCCCCAAGCUCGGACCAGGGAGUGAAGCCCUUGUCCCCAAGCAACAGAGUGAGGGUCUGUCUCUAACCCGGUGGGCUCCAGUGAAAGGAAAAUGGCCUGGAGGUGCCCACAGGAGGGCGCCCUAGUUCUGAGACAGGUCUACGGCUCCCAGACUGCGUCCCCAUGAGUAACACAGGGACACGCAGAGGGGCAUACUGAGUGCCUAUAGGGGACUCACGGACUGCAGAUGCACGCUGCGGAUCCAGAAGCCGGUCAGGUAAUGAGGUGCAGAGGUGUGGGGAAGACCUGGGUGCCAACCAGCGUAACCAGCCAGGGCCACCAAACAGAAGUGCUUCUGACAUUAAUGCGACACACAGAAGGUGUGUAGGGUGGGUAGUGGAAGUGACCGCAGAGGCCUCUGGGGAUUGUAGUUUUGGAGCUAGAGAGGCGGGCAAGCAGUUGGCUUCGCCCACACGGUGUGCCUCUCACAUCUGCACAGCGCACACAACCAAGCUUAGGAGCCGACUGUUAAGAUGCCCAAGUGACACGGACAAGUUUCUCCUCUGCAACCCAAUGAGAUCUGCUGACCACGAGAGCAUCGCGGGGCCGCCAAAGGAUUCUGGAAAAUGUGGUCCCGGGUGGCCAGUGUGCGCUGACCUUCACCUGAAGGUACGGCUUGAAGGAAACUUCUGGAGGGUGGGGUGGUGUUGAAGAGAAGGCACAGUUGUAACCAUUUUGUUCAACAUGGGCGUUUUCUUUGUGCAUUGAUUUGCAUUUUUAAAGGUAUUCCAUUAAAAAUAUGUUUAUCUAUUUUAA
RNA transcript from Pan troglodytes (chimpanzee), 5501 nucleotides. RefSeq lists it as uncharacterized. The record is from RefSeq and is a predicted model, not a curated record. Lineage: Eukaryota; Metazoa; Chordata; Mammalia; Primates; Hominidae. The transcript is spliced from 3 exons.